This is a long non-coding RNA of Varanus komodoensis (Komodo dragon), 875 nucleotides long. RefSeq lists it as uncharacterized. NCBI's taxonomy places the organism in Eukaryota, Metazoa, Chordata, Lepidosauria, Squamata, Varanidae. The transcript is spliced from 4 exons. The record is from RefSeq and is a predicted model, not a curated record.
GAUGCAGGUGGGGCUGGUGCUUCUGGGCUUCUUCUGUAACGAAGGGCUGGAGCUGGACCGGCCGGUUGCUUCCAGUGGCUGGGGCCGCCCAUCCCUCAGAGUCACCCUGCCAAGAGCCAAGGCGAACGUACCUGCCUGUGCAAGGAAGUGCCCAGGGGCACCGAGCCCUCGGCCAGUGCUUAGUUUGUGCUGUUAGGUGCCAAGCUAUGGAAGAAGGCAGAGUAAUUGUGGGCAGUGGGACACGUGGUGAUGAGUGGCCGUCAGAGGAGAGGAGGGGACAGAUGCCUCCAGCCUGGCAAGAUGUGGUACCCAUGUAAGCCUGCCCUCAAGCCCGGUUGUUCAAUGGCAGCCCGUACAGCCCUCUGGAACAUGGUGGAACUGAGGGUGAGGAAGCAGUUGGGAGACAACUGAGGCCCGAGUGGCAGAGAACUUGGGGCAAAUCCAGCUGAACGUGACUUAGAGCUCAUUGCUGAGCCUACCCUCCGGCUGUCUUGGGGCCUUUCCGUGCUGGUCCUAAAAGAGGACAUGUUGAACUGUUAAAAAUGACCACAGUUACACCACUCCUAAAAAAAAUCAAAACAGGACACAGGUGAUGUGAACAAGUGUAGACCAAAAGCCAACAUCCCUGAAAGAAGAGCUGUCAUCAAUGACCUGGACCAGGGGGUGACCAGUCUGCUGAUUAAAUUCGCAGAGGAUACGAAAAUGGCAACAACUGAGGAGCAGCAUCUGGGGCCUUUCCAGCUGCUGGGGGCCAUGCCUCGAGAGGCCCCGCUCGCUCUCAGGCUGCAGGACACAAAGGAGAUCUUCAGAGACCUCCGACAGGCGGGUCUGCGGAGCAGGCAAGUGGGCUGGGAGGAGGAGAGCCGGUUUGUGUA